CGGGGUUUUUUGGUAGUAAUACUGAAAAAUCUAGUGGCAAACGGGUGAGUAACACGUGAGUAACCUGCCUUCAAGAUUGGGACAACCUGCCGAAAGGUGGGCUAAUACUGGAUAAUGUUAUCGUAACGCAUGUUGUGAUAAUUAAAGAUGGCCUCUGCUUGCAAGCUAUUACUUGAAGAGGGGCUCGCGGCCUAUUAGUUAGUUGGUGGGGUAACGGCCUACCAAGGCAAUGAUGGGUAUCCGGCCUGAGAGGGUGAACGGACACACUGGGACUGAGACACGGCCCAGACUCCUACGGGAGGCAGCAGUGAGGAAUUUUCCGCAAUGGGCGAAAGCCUGACGGAGCAACGCCGCGUGAAGGACGAAGGUCUUCGGAUUGUAAACUUCUGUCGUGAGGGACGAAACCCCUUAAUGCUAAUAUCAUUAAGGAUUGACGGUACCUCAGGAGGAAGCCACGGCUAACUCUGUGCCAGCAGCCGCGGUAAUACAGAGGUGGCAAGCGUUGUUCGGAUUUACUGGGCGUAAAGGGUGCGCAGGCUGUUUUUUAAGUCAAUCGUUUAAUCCCAAGGCUCAACCUUGGUUCAGCGAUUGAUACUGGAAGACUUGAGUGCAGGAGAGGUGAGUGGAAUUCCAAGUGUAGCGGUGAAAUGCGUAGAUAUUUGGAAGAACACCAGUGGCGAAGGCGGCUCACUGGCCUGAAACUGACGCUGAGGCACGAAAGCUAGGGUAGCGAACGGGAUUAGAUACCCCGGUAGUCCUAGCCGUAAACGUUGAGUACUAGGUGUAGAGGGUAUCGACCCCCUCUGUGCCGAAGUUAACACAUUAAGUACUCCGCCUGGGGAGUAUGACCGCAAGGUUGAAACUCAAAGGAAUUGACGGGGGCCCGCACA
RNAcentral lists this ribosomal RNA (890 nucleotides) under uncultured bacterium. RNAcentral's name for it is "bacterial SSU rRNA". It matches the Rfam family "Bacterial small subunit ribosomal RNA", at positions 67 to 927 of the family's 1533-position model. The record is from RNAcentral.